GUUUUAGGCAGGCUGUGUUUAACAGGUUUGCUGUUUAAAUUAUUAGAAAUAGACUGGUGACCCACUCCCAGGAGGCAUAAAAAAUGUCAAGUCAGUUUAGUCAACUUGUAAGUUUUUGGCAGUUUAGUGUUUGACCAGUCAAAUUUUGAACACCAGCCAUGGCUCUGACACAACACCCUGUGUCAUACAUAGGACUAGAGGGCAGAACUAACACCUGAGGAGAAAUUAGGGUGCCUUAAGGUCUAGGGAACAUACCUUAGAGUGCAGUCAAAUUAACUCCUAGGAAAUAGCUGGAGAAGGAAGCUGAGACACAAAAGUCAAAUAUUAGCUGUUUGGGAGCAUUUGCAGCUCUGAAGGACUCCUCCUUCUUUGCAAGGAUCUGUUUGCCAAUGGAAGGACUGGACAUGUCCCUUUGAAAACCAAAGCAGAGAUGCUGGAGCACAAUUCUACAGGGGAAAGAAACUCCGUGCUAUAUCAUGGCUGGUGAAGGUUGGA
This 495-nucleotide long non-coding RNA is filed under the name Cyanistes caeruleus (blue tit). RNAcentral describes it as "lncRNA (ENSCCEG00000016703.1)". The record is from RNAcentral. Lineage: Eukaryota; Metazoa; Chordata; Aves; Passeriformes; Paridae.